This 1903-nucleotide long non-coding RNA is filed under the name Triticum aestivum (bread wheat). Its description in RNAcentral is "long non-coding RNA (TAES_LNC000111)". The record is from RNAcentral. Lineage: Eukaryota; Viridiplantae; Streptophyta; Magnoliopsida; Poales; Poaceae.
CAGUGAACACCAUAUCCUCGCCGCCGUCGUUAUGUCUUGGAGACAUUUUUUUCGAUAGAGGGCGACUUUAUUAUCUCAAAAUGUAGCAUCAAGCGGAUACAAAGCAUUAUGAGUAACACCCGGCCUCUGCGUAACUAAGAUGCACACAGCCAAAUCCAAAAGUCUGACAAAAAUUCAUGAAAUAAAAAUCGACAAAUCGGCAACAGUAGAGUCCUUUAGACCGACACUAUGCCUAUGUCGAAGAGGUGGUGGAUCGAUCCGUAGGUUAUGCUACCAUCCAUGUUGGGAAAAAAAACCUCCGUAGCCACCUGCUCCAAUCGCGUACACACCACCAUGAACAGCAGUUGGUACUCCGGCCGUUGUAGCAAAAAUUAAGGCCGCCCUACAAGUGCAUCUUGUGGAGGGUAUAUCGCUGCUUCCAGCACUUACACCAUACUUGAGCCUGUGUACCAAUUAUAGCUUCAGAUUUUCUCUUGAUAAAUGUGUAAAAUGAGUAUGUAUCUUAGGUGUUUAAUCUUUGAAUCAUCACCGAGCCUUGCCCAAAAUUUUAGCUCCAGUUUUUAUAUCUAGUUGGACGUAAGGGUAUCUACUUUGUAAUGAAGUGAAUGAAGUCGGCAGCAGCACACACACACUUGCAAAAAUUUGAUUCACUUGCUUGAGAUUUGCACUCCUAUGGUCAAACUAGCAAAAUGAAAGAUACACCAAUUUAACAAAUAUCGACAACUUUAUGUCUUGCUAUCAAAUUAAUGUAUGUAGAUUUAAGAUAAUCAAUUUUAUGAUACUAAUCAUUAUUGACUAAUUGUCAAAAGUUUCACAAUCUAAAAACACCCACUAUUAUUCUGUAAACCCUACAAUUGUGAAUGUUUGCACUAAGAAAAAGAAGGCACAUGUUCUCCCACUUUUGUGAACUUCCGAAGAUUCUAAAAUAUUGUGAAUGUGCAAGUAAACUAUAUGUAACUUCCUGGUAGUAGAUAGAAUAUACACUAUUAUAUGCUACCUAUUUAAUUUUACACAUAUGCAACUCAAUAUUGCUAUGACAUAUUACUUGCAAAUUCUUGAAACAAUGAUGAGAAUUUUUUUCAUUGUAUACAACAGAUUCUAACAUUCAGAGGACACAAGUUGGUAUUUUUGGAAUGAUUUGUUUUUUUGCUUUUGCUUAGGACUGCGAUGUUUGGCAUCCCUUAGUUCAAAUUACCAAAUAACAGUUUCAUGUUCAUCCAUGAUAAUAUGUUAGUUCACAUUACCAUCAUAAUCUCCGAACCUAACCAAAUGUCUGCUAUGAUUUUGGCAUCUAUAAUGAUUGGCACAUCUUAGUUCACAUCACUGUGAUCGUUAAAUAACCAAGGAAAAAGGAAAUACUUUUUAUUAAAAAGGAAAUACUUUUAAUGAAAUCUGGCAUACCAUGGGGUCAAGGAGCCAGCUAAGGCGAAGGAGAGCGACCGAGGAAGGAUGGUGAAGCUAGCAGCUCAGCCGACAGGGAGAAGCCGUGGCGGAGAAGGUGUGGUCUUGCUAGGGAGAUAGGUCGAGUGUUCGCCACUCAUGCUGCUGCACUACCGAUGCCCAACUUUGGCGGAAGUUCCUCCCAAAAUCCCAAUGGCCUCCACCUUUACCGAUCUUCUCCAAAAGCAACAUGUCAUGCCAGUCGCCAGUCCUCCCAUGGUGGCCGAUGGUAGAUGGUCCCACCUUUGGGGGCUUUCUCCUGCGUCAUCUUCACCUGCGCAAAGAAGCAAGGACUGGGACAUGUAAAUUGGAGAGAGGAGAGGCAGACAGAACCAGAAGAAAUUGAGGGAGGGGACACAGAGGAGAGGGCACCUCUUGUUGCGGCACCGCUCCACUGCGGAUAGGGAAAGAGAUGCUAGAUGAGAAAGAAAAUGGCCGAGGCUUCAUGAAGGAUCGUCAUAAG